UACACGCUGUGACUAGCAUAUCAAUAAGCGGAGGAAAAGAAACUAACAAGGAUUCCCCUAGUAACGGCGAGUGAAGCGGGAAGAGCUCAAAUUUGAAAUCUUAAAGGGUUUCCCUUUACGAAUUGUAGUUUAAAGAAGUGUUUUCUGUUGAGGUUUUGGUAAAAGUUCUUUGGAAUAGGACAUCAUAGAGGGUGAGAAUCCCGUAUUUGACCUUUACUUUCAACUUUGUGAUACCCUUUCAAAGAGUCGGAUUGUUUGGGAAUGCAGUCCAAAAUGGGUGGUAAAUUUCAUCUAAAGCUAAAUAUUGGCGAGAGACCGAUAGCGAACAAGUACCGUGAGGGAAAGAUGAAAAGAACUUUGAAAAGAGAGUUAAACAGUACGUGAAAUUGUCAAAAGGGAAGCGUUUGACACCAGUGUUGUUUUUCUGAAAAUCAAUUAAAGAACUGUUUAUGCUAAGUUGUUUAGACUUUAUCAGCUAUCUGUUUAGUUUUGAGCUUUUCUUUAAUGCACUUUUCAGUUAACAAGUCAACAUCAAUUUCUUUUGCUGUAAAAAAGCUUGAGGAAGGUGGCUUGAGAUUCGUCUUAAGUGUUUAUAGCCUCUUGCCUAUGCAGUCGGAGAGAUUGAGGUCUGCAGCGUAGAUCCUUCGGGGCUAAAUGCAUUUGUGCUAAGUUAUAGCAUUUUAUAGACAACUUGUUGACUAUGAUUUGUCUUGUAGCUUACUCGCUUAUGUUAUUUUACCUACGCUUAGGAUGUUGACGCGCGUGUGUGCGUG
This 773-nucleotide ribosomal RNA is filed under the name uncultured Neocallimastigales. RNAcentral's name for it is "partial large subunit ribosomal RNA". It matches the Rfam family "Eukaryotic large subunit ribosomal RNA", at positions 22 to 639 of the family's 3401-position model. The record is from RNAcentral. Lineage: Eukaryota; Fungi; Neocallimastigomycota; Neocallimastigomycetes; Neocallimastigales.